Molecule: RNA transcript, 2236 nt
Organism: Andrographis paniculata
Lineage: Eukaryota; Viridiplantae; Streptophyta; Magnoliopsida; Lamiales; Acanthaceae
Exons: 12
Source: RefSeq, a predicted model, not a curated record
CCUUUCUCUUCUCUUUUCUUCUUCUGCUUUCUUUCUCUUCCCUUUCACUUUCUACAGUUCACACAAACUUAUCAUCACCACACUCCUCUUCCCCUGCGACAGCACUGCAAUUAAACCACAAUUAAACCUCUCACAGGAUUUCCCAUACCUCCUUACAUACAUUUUCUUUCCAGAUGCAAACCCUCCAUGAUUCCAACCACCAACAGUAGCUGCUUCUGCUGCUGCUGCUGCUUUAUGCUCUGGGAGGGUUUUGAGAAGUUUUCUUGAGUUCUUGCUUCGCGCAGCCUGUUCAUCUCCUAGGUUUUGUUGGUUGGGGUUUCGAUUGAUGAUUUAUUGUGAAUCUGGUGUCGAUUCUUUUCUGGGGUUGUGUAAUUUGUCGAUACGAUGUUAAAAGUUGGACCUUUCUGACGUUUCCAGGGGAAAGCCAUUUGAAAAGGUGGUGAAUGGAGAAUCAUUGUCAGCUUUCUCUUAGCUAAAAUGCAGAAGGAUCAAAAGAUCUUACAGGACAUAAAGCCAAAUCAUGUUUCACAUGAUUCGCAAACCGAACAGACAAACAAUGCCCCUGAUGCUCCUGUACCGGAUUCCGGGUCAGUUUCGGGAUCAAGCAACGACAAUCGAAAAGUUUCCCGAGAAGAUAUUGAGCUUGUUCAGAAUCUAAUAGAACGAUGCCUGCAGCUUUAUAUGAAUCGAGAUGAGGUGGUGAAAACCCUACUGAAUCGUGCUAGGAUAGAUCCCGGUUUCACAACACUAGUGUGGCAGAAACUCGAAGAAGAGAAUGCCGAGUUCUUCCGAGCUUACUACAUACGGCUUAAAUUGAAGAAACAAAUUAUCUUAUUCAACCACUUGCUCGAGCAUCAAUAUCACCUAACGAAGUAUCCGGUGCCCCCUAAGAUUCCUCUAGCCCCGAUGCAAAAUGGAAUUCAUCCAAUGCCUGUCAACAACUUACCUGUGGGAUAUCCCGUCAUUCAGCACCCUCCGCUGCCUGCGACGGGACAACCGCAUAUCGAUCCUAUGGGCUAUUCGGCACCCGGCUGCCACAUCGUCAAUGGAGUUCCCGCCCCGGGAAAUUUCCAUCCGAUGCCAAUGAAUUCUGGAAAUGAUAUGGUUAUCGACACUACUGCAGCUGACGUGUCGCCUGUUAUGCCGCCGAACAACGGAAUGUCAUCGAUGUCGGAUGUGCCCGUGAGCCCGACAUCUGUCGCAUCGAGUGGCCAUUUUCCGUUCAGUGCGUCGGAAAUUUCUGGAAUUGGAGUCGAUGCUUCAGCGCUCGAUUCUGCAUUUACAUCUGAUGUCGCGAGUUCAGUAGGGCUUCAGCUUCCUCCAGAUAACGGAGCUGGGAAUUCGAGAGAUUCCCUCGGAUCCUUGGGUCAGAUUCCGUGGAAUUUUAGCCUUACAGACCUCACUGCAGAUUUGUCGAACUUGGGAGAUUUAGGGGCUCUUGGGAACUAUCCCGGUUCGCCAUUUUUGCCGUCGGAUUCGGAUAUUCUUCUCGAUUCUCCUGAGCAAGAGGAUAUAGUAGAGGAGUUCUUUGUCAGUUCUGAUUCUGUUCCAGGGCAAGGACCUCCGUCAGAUGAAGAGAAGUCGUAGACCUAAGAAGCCAAUUGAUGCACCUUUAGAAAUAAAGAGUUCUUCCAUGACCCGAUCGAAUAUGUGGGCUAGAGGGAGAUAGGACAGAUAUACGUCGUUCUCCCUGAACUGUUGAACACAAAUGUGGUUGGAGAAACAACGUUAAUCAUCAUGGAUCAGACAUGGAUUUUUUCAGACCAGACAGAAAGUGAUGUUUGGAUGUUUUGUGUUGACUGACCUCUUCAUCGAUGGUUUCCAAAUGAUGAUUGACUCCGGAUAUGAUGGAGAGAACGGCUUCGUUGGAGAUCAUGACUCCCUUAGGAUCACCGUAGCAGCAGGAUGAAAGAGUAGAUAAACGGGAGCGAUGAUAGAAAUGAAAUGAAAUGAAAUUCGUCGAUAAAGAAAACAGUUAAACUAACCAGAAGCAAAAAGUCAUCCCAAGAAUAGAUGUUGCACCCGAAAUUGGCUGCUGUCUGCUUCUGAUCUUGUGUGAACUCUCCAAAGCUUACAAUAGCUGAGUGAGUCGAGUAUAUAAGUAGUAGCCCUUUAAAUAGAGAAUGGAGGACACAAACACACAAAACAGACACUGCCUUAUCACUUACUUUUCAAGUAUUUCUGAGUGUAGGGAAAUGUUUUCAAGAUCUGUAUUGUGUAAUAUAUUGUAAUUAAU